This 460-nucleotide ribosomal RNA is filed under the name uncultured bacterium. RNAcentral's name for it is "partial 16S ribosomal RNA". It matches the Rfam family "Bacterial small subunit ribosomal RNA", at positions 338 to 795 of the family's 1533-position model. The record is from RNAcentral.
CCUACGGGAGGCAGCAGUGAGGAAUAUUGGUCAAUGGACGAGAGUCUGAACCAGCCAAGUCGCGUGAGGGAUGACUGCCCUAUGGAUUGUAAACUUCUUUUAUCUGGGAGUAAAACAGGCCAUGCAUACCGUCUUGUGUGUACCAUAUGAAAAAGGAUCGGCUAAUUCCGUGCCAGCAGCCGCGGUAAUACGGAGGGUUCGGGCGUUAUCCGGAUUUAUUGGGUUUAAAGGGGGCGGAGGCCGCAAGUCAAGGGUGCGGUGAAAUGUAAGGGGCCAACCCGGGCCUUGCAGUGGAAACUGGUGUGCUUGAGUGAGCGGAAAGCAGGCGGAAUUCGUGGUGUAGCGGUGAAAUGCUUAGAUAUGACGAAGAACCCCGAUUGCGAAGGCAGCUUGCUGGAGCGGAACUGACGCUGAUGCACGAAAGCGUGGGUAUCGAACAGGAUUAGAUACCCUUGUAGUC